UUAAAGAGUUCUAUAACUCCCAAACCCAUGUGAACAUACCUAACGUUGCCUCGGCAGGUCGCACCUACCUUGUAGCACCCUACCCUGUAGGGCCUACCCGGGAGGUGCGGGUAAGCCUGCCGGCGGCCCACCAAACUCUGUUUGAUAUUGAAUUCUGAACCUAUAACUAAAUAAGUUAAAACUUUCAACAACGGAUCUCUUGGUUCUGGCAUCGAUGAAGAACGCAGCGAAAUGCGAUAAGUAAUGUGAAUUGCAGAAUUCAGUGAAUCAUCGAAUCUUUGAACGCAUAUUGCGCCCAUUAGUAUUCUAGUGGGCAGGACCGUUCGAGCGUCAUUUCAACCCUUAAGCCUUCGUUGCUUAGUGUUGGGAGCCUACGGCAACGUAGCUCCUCAAAGUUAGUGGCGGAGUUGGUUCACACUCUAGACGUAGUAAUUUUUUAUCUCGCCUAUUAGUUGGACUAAUCCCCUGCCGUAAAACCCCCAAUUUAUCAAGGUUGACCUCGAAUCGGUUCAGACAAACUCGCUAAAUUGAAGCAUCUUAGUCAGCGAAGGAAAAGAAACCAACAGGGAUUGCCCUAGUAACGGCGAGUGAAGCGGCAACAGCUCAAAUUUGAAAUCUGGCCCUCGGGUCCGAGUUGUAAUUUGUAGAGGAUGCUUUUGGCGCGGUGCCUUCCGAGUUCCCUGGAACGGGACGCCUUAGAGGGUGAGAGCCCCGUACGGUUGGACACCAAGCCUCUGUAAAGCUCCUUCGACGAGUCGAGUAGCUUGGGAAUGCUGCUCUAAAUGGGAGGUAAAUUUCUUCUAAAGCUAAAUAUUGGCCAGAGACCGAUAGCGCACAAGUAGAGUGAUCGAAAGAUGAAAAGCACUUU
RNAcentral lists this ribosomal RNA (868 nucleotides) under fungal endophyte. RNAcentral's name for it is "eukaryotic LSU rRNA". The stretch from base 495 to 868 matches the Rfam family "Eukaryotic large subunit ribosomal RNA", at positions 1 to 377 of the family's 3401-position model. The record is from RNAcentral. Lineage: Eukaryota; Fungi.